GUUUCUGCUCAGGACGAACGCUGGCGGCGUGCCUAAUACAUGCAAGUCGAACGAACUCUGGUAAUGAUUGGUGCUUGCAUCAUGAUUUACAUUUGAGUGAGUGGCGAACUGGUGAGUAACACGUGGGAAACCUGCCCAGAAGCGGGGGAUAACACCUGGAAACAGAUGCUAAUACCGCAUAACAACUUGGACCGCAUGGUCCGAGUUUGAAAGAUGGCUUCGGCUAUCACUUUUGGAUGGUCCCGCGGCGUAUUAGCUAGAUGGUGAGGUAACGGCUCACCAUGGCAAUGAUACGUAGCCGACCUGAGAGGGUAAUCGGCCACAUUGGGACUGAGACACGGCCCAAACUCCUACGGGAGGCAGCAGUAGGGAAUCUUCCACAAUGGACGAAAGUCUGAUGGAGCAACGCCGCGUGAGUGAAGAAGGGUUUCGGCUCGUAAAACUCUGUUGUUGAAGAAGAACAUAUGUGAGAGUAACUGUUCAGGUAUUGACGGUAUUCAACCAGAAAGCCACGGCUAACUACGUGCCAGCAGCCGCGGUAAUACGUAGGUGGCAAGCGUUGUCCGGAUUUAUUGGGCGUAAAGCGAGCGCAGGCGGUUUUUUAAGUCUGAUGUGAAAGCCUUCGGCUCAACCGAAGAAGUGCAUCGGAAACUGGGAAACUUGAGUGCAGAAGAGGACAGUGGAACUCCAUGUGUAGCGGUGAAAUGCGUAGAUAUAUGGAAGAACACCAGUGGCGAAGGCGGCUGUCUGGUCUGUAACUGACGCUGAGGCUCGAAAGUAUGGGUAGCAAACAGGAUUAGAUACCCUGGUAGUCCAUACCGUAAACGAUGAAUGCUAAGUGUUGGAGGGUUUCCGCCCUUCAGUGCUGCAGCUAACGCAUUAAGCAUUCCGCCUGGGGAGUACGGCCGCAAGGCUGAAACUCAAAGGAAUUGACGGGGGCCCGCACAAGCGGUGGAGCAUGUGGUUUAAUUCGAAGCUACGCGAAGAACCUUACCAGGUCUUGACAUACUAUGCUCAUCUGAGAGAUUAGACGUUCCCUUCGGGGACAUGGAUACAGGUGGUGCAUGGUUGUCGUCAGCUCGUGUCGUGAGAUGUUGGGUUAAGUCCCGCAACGAGCGCAACCCUUAUUAUCAGUUGCCAGCAUUAAGUUGGGCACUCUGGUGAGACUGCCGGUGACAAACCGGAGGAAGGUGGGGAUGACGUCAAAUCAUCAUGCCCCUUAUGACCUGGGCUACACACGUGCUACAAUGGAUGGUACAACGAGUUGCGAACUCGCGAGAGCAAGCUAAUCUCUUAAAGCCAUUCUCAGUUCGGAUUGUAGGCUGCAACUCGCCUACAUGAAGUCGGAAUCGCUAGUAAUCGCGGAUCAGCAUGCCGCGGUGAAUACGUUCCCGGGCCUUGUACACACCGCCCGUCACACCAUGAGAGUUUGUAACACCCAAAGUCGGUGGGGUAACCUUUUAAGAACCAGACGCCUAUGGUGGGACAGAUGAGUAUGGUGAAGUCGCAACAGGGGAUCCGCAAAAGCGGGACAAUGGGUCAGAAGGUAGCUAUGAGGUAUUAGGAUAUGGAGAGAGGUGAUAUCCGCGAUGCU
Molecule: ribosomal RNA, 1594 nt
Filed under: Lactiplantibacillus paraplantarum
Lineage: Bacteria; Bacillati; Bacillota; Bacilli; Lactobacillales; Lactobacillaceae
Description: bacterial SSU rRNA
Rfam family: Bacterial small subunit ribosomal RNA
Source: RNAcentral